AUGAACGCUGGCGGCGUGCCUCAUACCUGCAAGUCGAGCGAACGGACGAGAAGCUUGCUUCUCUGAUGUUAGCGGCGGCCGGGUGAGUAACACGUGGAUAACCUACCUAUAAGACUGGGAUAACUUCGGGAAACCGGAGCUAAUACCGGAUAAUAUUUUGAACCGCAUGGUUCAAAAGUGAAAGACGGUCUUGCUGUCACUUAUAGAUGGAUCCGCGCUGCAUUAGCUAGUUGGUAAGGUAACGGCUUACCAAGGCAACGAUGCAUAGCCGACCUGAGCGGGUGAUCGGCCACACUGGAGCUGAGACACGGUCCAGACUCCUACGGGAGGCAGCAGUAGGGAAUCUUCCGCAAUGGGCGAAAGCCUGACGGAGCAACGCCGCGUGAGUGAUGAAGGUCUUCGGAUCGUAAAACUCUGUUAUUAGGGAAGAACAUAUGUGUAAGUAACUGUGCACAUCUUGACGGUACCUAAUCAGAAAGCCACGGCUAACUACGUG
This 496-nucleotide ribosomal RNA is filed under the name uncultured bacterium. Its description in RNAcentral is "partial 16S ribosomal RNA". It matches the Rfam family "Bacterial small subunit ribosomal RNA", at positions 29 to 507 of the family's 1533-position model. The record is from RNAcentral.